UGUAGCCUAUAGGUUGGCAUUGCCACCCAGUAUUGGAGACGUGCACAAUGUGUUUCAUGUCUCUCAGUUAAGAAAGUAUGUGUUUAAUCCAAAGCAUUUGCUUAAGCCAGAUAAAGUAGUCCUAGCCAGGACUAAAGUUAUGAAGAGAAACCAGUCCAGAUACUUGAUCGCAAGGUUCAAGUUUUAUGAGACAAUAAUAUUGUUCUCGUCAUGUAGUGGAACCAUCACAGGAUGGAAAAUGCCACAAAAGAAAUGAAUGAAAUGAAAGACUAGUAUCCCAAGCUAGAAUACCAGAUAUGUAAUUUCGAGGACGAAAUUUUUUUUUUAGGAGGGAGGGAUGUAAUAUCCCGUUUCCUCGAGCUAAGUCUAGAAUAAUUUUUUAAUUUAGAAUUUAUUUUAAACUUAGAAUUAAGAUGAUUCACGCCGGAUUGAGAAAAAAAUGAAUUUAUUUUAAUUCCAACAAAGACGAUUUACAAAAAUAUAUUUUGUAAAUUUAGUUAUUAAAUUUAUGUGCAUCGCAUAUUUAUUUAAUUUAGCAUUCAAGCAUUUUCAUGAGCUAUUUAUUUAAGCAAACAUUGAACGAUUAUUACAGUUUUCAUAGUACAACCCGGAAGAUUUUUAUUUUAUUUUAUUUUACUCCACUACACCCACUACCCACUACACCUACUCCUUAUUUUAUUUUAUUUUACUCCACUACACCCACUACCCACUACACCUACUCCUACACAGCAAUACAUUCGUCCACUCCUCUCUGUCUGCCAUAUCUCAAUUAUUCUCGCAAGGAAGAAAUUCAAUGCACAUCUCUAUCUCCAGAAGUUCAACAACAUCAUAUUCACUAACCAUUCGUCUCUACACAGAACACUAUAAGGCUUUGUGACCAGGGGGAUUAGCGCUGCUUUCCCAAGACAGGUUUUUAUGUGUAUGAUCUUCAGGCUUUGCCUAUCCAGGUUGGCUGGCCGGUGCUGACGGGACGGAGCUGAGGCUAGCGAUAAAUUCCUAUGUUAGACUUCCGCUGUAGCAAUUACUCAUAUCAGUCUUUUUGUUUUCCCAACUUAAGAUCUUCAUGUUAAAUUUCAAAUAAUAUAUUUGACCGAGCUUAGACUUU
This is a long non-coding RNA of Salvia miltiorrhiza (redroot sage), 1105 nucleotides long. RefSeq lists it as uncharacterized. The transcript has 3 exons. The record is from RefSeq and is a predicted model, not a curated record. Lineage: Eukaryota; Viridiplantae; Streptophyta; Magnoliopsida; Lamiales; Lamiaceae.